Dermochelys coriacea (leatherback sea turtle) is the source of this 1963-nucleotide long non-coding RNA. RefSeq lists it as uncharacterized. The record is from RefSeq and is a predicted model, not a curated record. NCBI's taxonomy places the organism in Eukaryota, Metazoa, Chordata, Testudines, Dermochelyidae. The transcript is spliced from 3 exons.
UUGACUAAUGCUCAGCACAGUUUUACAUUUAAGUCUGCUUGAUUAUUUUCCCUUGGAGCAGACAAGUAUAUGGUAUGAUCUCAUCCUAUUGUCAGCGUAAUGUGUCUUUGGGGACUCUGACCUUGUUCACAUUACAAUGACAUCAUCUUUUCUACAGACUGUAAAUCACAACCGUUGACUCCUUGCUUUACUAAUAAAACCUGCAGAGAUAGUCUGCAGCUACAACGUGCUUGUUUGAAAUUGUUAGACGGCAAUGCAAUUUAUUUAUUUUUAACUACUUGAGGCAACAUUUUUCUGAAGCUAGUAAUGAGGGAGCUGUACAGUCUCAUUUAACAUUCCUAUCUUAUUUUUGCGGAGUUCUAACCUGGAUUAUUUUUUUUUAUUCUAUGAUCUAAAUAGAUUUAUCAGCACAGUCUGAAACAUAAGAGCCAAGAGAAAAAGUAUUUUCCCUUCGGAGUCACCUUUUAAAUUUCCAUCCUAGCAAAGUACUCAAAAUGUAUCCAUUUACCUUCUGCAACUUGCAGUACCCUGCAUUCAUCGAAAAAGCAGGCUUCCAGCUACCACUCCAUCGUUCCAUUGAGGAUCUCAAGAACAGUUGUAGAGAAUAAAUCAAAGAAAAGAGUUGUACUCUAGCCCACAUGCAGACACUUCUGCAGAGGCAGGAAGUAACUUCGUCUAAAAGAAAAAAGAUAGGACUCAUUGAUACGCAUCUAAAUAAACAUUUCCUCAUAUAACCCAAACAUCACUGGAGCAGGUCAGUGCAUCAGUCAUCAUUGCACUCUGCUAGUCUAGUGCUGUAGAUGAAAAGCUUUUAAAAUUCAUGCAACUUCUAAUUUGCCUUGGGCUGGAAAACCUUCAAUUACUCUCACUCCUGAGUUUCCAUUUGGAUGUGCUCUGGUUAACCCAUUCUCUCCAUUUUUGCAGGUGGCAACUGUGCCAAUGAUUUUGUGCACCCGUUACGAACAGAUCAAUUUACACCAGAGCAAUUAUCUAGCCAUGGCCUCAACCAUCCACUGUUUUAUUGCUGUUAGUGAGGCAUGAAACCAGUUUUUCAAAGAGGUAUUGCAAUGGGAUUCACCACAUUCUCUUCUAUUUUUCCUGUUUAAUUUUAAACUUUUGUUUUUGUUUUGCUUAACAAUAUAGGUCGAUGAAAAUCUUUGUAAAAGGCCUGAGAAAUGGGUACAGGGUAAAGAUUACAUGGCCGUAUUUAUGAACCCUCAACAUCUUUGCUGGGAUAAGCGGUGGAAGCAAUUUAAGGAGCAAACUGCUGCUUAAAAUGGCUUGCUGCAUUUUUGUUACUGGUAAUUAAUGCAGAUUACCCAGUAGCUAGUGCAGCUUUUGAUAAUGGAUUAAUCCAUGAAAGCUGAGGUCUUCUCUUGAAGUCCUGCUGCAGCUGAAGACUCAGGAGCAACUCAGCCCAUGAGUCUGUAGUCAGUAGCGCAAGGCUUGUGUGGCUCUGCUCUGCUCCCCCAUACAACACACCUCUUAAAGGAACAGUACAUACAGAAAAUCGUCUUAAAAAUGUAUGUGACGUGGAACCACAAUGACCUGUUUUAAUCCUCUAAAUCAAACCCAAGCAAUAAUGGCAUAAGUGACCAGGCUUAAAAAAACUAAUAAUCGCAAACAAUGACAAAACAGUUAACUUGGGUCAAAGUGGAGCUAGUAAAAUGGUUUGAAUUCACAUGAUUACAUAUUGCACUCAGGGAAAGCAAUUGGCAGCUGCAUGCACUGAAGAAUUGUUUCUUACCUGGUUUAGUAUGUUAUCAAACAAUUUAGAUGUGUAGAAUGUGAUUUUUUUUCUUUAAAAUGUAUACAUGCACCAGUAGAGGGCAUGCACAUCUAAUUAAAUGGAGAGAGACGCCUACUAAUUAAUCUCACAAGUAGGUGGAACUAUACCUAUAUCCACAACGUUCCCAAGCAAAGUGUCCAUUCAGUGGUAGCAUGAAAACAACUCACCCCAGCA